CCUACGGGGGGCAGCAGUGGGGAAUAUUGGGCAAUGGGCGCAACCCUGACCCAGCAACGCCGCGUGAAGGAAGAAGGCUCUCGGGUUGUAAACUUCUAUCAAGAGGGAAGAGCAGAAGACGGUACCUCUUGAAUAAGCCACGGCUAACUACGUGCCAGCAGCCGCGGUAAUACGUAGGUGGCAAGCGUUGUCCGGAUUUACUGGGUGUAAAGGGCGUGUAGCCGGGAAGGUAAGUCAGAUGUGAAAUGCGGCGGCUCAACCGCGGAACUGCUGUUGAAACUGUGUUUCUUGAGUGCCGGAGAGGUCAUCGGAAUUCCUAGUGUAGCGGUGAAAUGCGUAGAUAUAAGGAAGAACACCAGUGGCGAAGGCGGAUGACUGGACGGCAACUGACGGUGAGGCGCGAAAGCGUGGGGAGCAAACAGGAUUAGAUACCCUUGUAGUC
RNAcentral lists this ribosomal RNA (442 nucleotides) under uncultured bacterium. Its description in RNAcentral is "partial 16S ribosomal RNA". It matches the Rfam family "Bacterial small subunit ribosomal RNA", at positions 338 to 795 of the family's 1533-position model. The record is from RNAcentral.